RNAcentral lists this ribosomal RNA (465 nucleotides) under uncultured bacterium. Its description in RNAcentral is "bacterial SSU rRNA". It matches the Rfam family "Bacterial small subunit ribosomal RNA", at positions 338 to 795 of the family's 1533-position model. The record is from RNAcentral.
CCUACGGGGGGCUGCAGUGGGGAAUAUUGCACAAUGGGGGAAACCCUGAUGCAGCGACGCCGCGUGAAGGAAGAAGGUCUUCGGAUCGUAAACUUCUAUCAGCAGGGAAGAACAAGUACCGAAGGAAAUGGCGGUACCUUGACGGUACCUGACGAGAAAGCCACGGCUAACUACGUGCCAGCAGCCGCGGUAAUACGUAGGUGGCAAGCGUUGUCCGGAAUUAUUGGGCGUAAAGCGCGCGCAGGCGGUUCCUUAAGUCUGAUGUGAAAUCUUGCGGCUCAACCGCAAGCGGUCAUUGGAAACUGGGGAACCUGAGUGCAGAAGAGGAAAGCGGAAUUCCACGUGUAGCGGUGAAAUGCGUAGAGAUGUGGAGGAACACCAGUGGCGAAGGCGGCUUUCUGGUCUGUAACUGACGCUGAGGCGCGAAAGCGUGGGGAGCAAACAGGAUUAGAUACCCGAGUAGUC